RNAcentral lists this unclassified non-coding RNA (2536 nucleotides) under Pectinophora gossypiella (pink bollworm). Its description in RNAcentral is "protein Son". Lineage: Eukaryota; Metazoa; Arthropoda; Insecta; Lepidoptera; Gelechiidae. The record is from RNAcentral.
UGUCAAACGAAAUCACAAUAAAAUGGUGGACAUUGGUGUGUCAUUUGAUUUGUUUAGAGGUAUAAAAGUGAUUGAUUUGUAAUUUGGAGCUUAUUAGUGUAAAAUAAUAACUGAAGAGAGUGUUAAUUGUAUAAUACAAGUAUGACAAGUUUGAUAGAUAAAAUAGAGAAGUUGAUUAAACGUGAAAAGACCACGCCUGAGCGGAAACGAAAAGAUGAGUGUACGAAGUCUUCGAGCGAGAUUCUAUCAGAAUUAUUUAGUGCGUUUAACGCUGAUCCUCCUAAGAUCGACGAGGCCACCUUGAAGAAAUCAAAAAAGAGUAAGAAGAAGCACAAAAAGGAAAAGAAAAGCAAGCGCAGUAGAAGCUGCAGCAGUAGUAGUGACUCCGACACCGACGGUCACAAACAUAAGAAAAGAAAGAAGAGUAAGUCUAAGUCCAAACGUAAAGAUAAAGAUAAAUGGGAAAGGACACCUUCCUUAUCACGAUCCAGAACGCCUGAAUUGAAACCUGAUCCAGAAUUAAUUAAGACUCUAGCCAUUAAGAAAGAAGAUGACAAAAGUGUGGUUAAUGUUAAAGUUGCUGUAAAGGAAGAAAAGCCAGAUAAAGUUAAAGUUGAAGUCAAAGAAGAGAAGAAGAGGCGAGUUUCUGUGAAACAUGAAGAUGGUCAUAGUCCAAUAUCACAUAGUAUUGAUAAUGAUCAUAUUCCACUCCCAGAUAUGCCUAUGGAUGGCAACCUUAAUACAUGUGAUUUGCGAGUCAGACUGGAAGGUAAGAAAUGUGAUUCAGGAGACAAUGAUAAGUCUAAGGGUAAAAUUCAAAUAAAGAAUUUGAAGUUCAGUGCGGUGUAUGAAGAAACUGUGAAGAAAGCUGAAGAGGAAGCAAGGAAGAAGGCGAAGAUGUAUGAAGAAGGUGAAUACACAGACUCAUCAAGCUGUUCUGACAAGCCUGAGUGUACAAAUUCCCAGUUUCCAAAAUCUGCUGAUCCAGGUGGAAUAUUGAAAAAACAAGCAGUCGAAGAGAGCAAACUAAUUGAAGAACAGAAGAGUCAAUCCAAAAAGAGUAAAAGUUCAGAUAAACACACGGAGAAGCAUUCAGAGAGUUCUCACAAGUCUUCAAAGCGAGACAAGGAUAGAAGCAGAUCUCCUAAGAGAUCGCACAGCAAGUCACAUCGUUCUCGCUCGCGCUCGACAUCGCGGCGCUACCACCGGUCCUCAUCCAAAUCUCACCGCCGCAGUCGGUCUCGACACCGCUCGCGUUCGCGCUCCAGGCGCUCCACAUCACGGACACGGGCUAGGAGGCUCACUUCAAGACAUCGCAGGAGGUCUAGCAGGUCACCAUCAGGCGUGAAGCUAGCAGACAGCGAGAAGAAGCGUCUUCUAGAAGUGGCUAGAAGGAACGCCAUCAACAUGUUGAAGAACGGUGCGGUCCCCGCCGGCGCGGCCGCGCUGCCGCCGCACACCAGGAACCAGGUCAUGGCCGCUAUACAGUCUGGAGGUAAAUCAGUCGACGAAUUGACAGACUUCUGCAAGCAUUUAUCUAAGAAGGAAGCGUUGGGGGAACUAUCAUCCGUCUCGUCAAACGACGAAGGAAUGAGCGAGAACGAAGAUACGAUCGCGUUCCAUCACCCCUUCUUAGUCAAGGAGAAAGCUCCUAUUGUUAUGAAUAUAAGGGGCGGCGCCCCACUACCAGUCAAAAGCACGAGCAUACUUCCAGUAGCCAAUAAGGAAGAGUUACGACUCCAGUUCCCCGUGUCUUCUGGAUCACAACAUCGCGAGAAAGCUUCGGAGUGGGUGCCCGUCUCGCCGAAGAAAAGUGAAAUGCAAGUAGCAAAAUUGAACUCGAAGCCGGCUGCACCUAAGCCAGUCGAACCUCCUAAGCCGCCGCUGCCGGUGGAGGCGCCCGCGGUUCCGCUGGCGCUGCCCGCGCCGCCCGCGCCCCCCACGCCGCCCGCGCCCGCCUCCGAGCCCGUCCCUCCGCCCGCAUACGCUAAGAACUUCACUUCUGGAACCCAGCUGUCGACGGUGCCCGUGUUGCCUGUGUUGCCAGCGUUACCGGCGCCCGGCCCACAAGCGUACCCCCCCGGACUUGAACCACCGAAAGUUGACUAUGCAUCGAUCGUGUCACAGAAAAUAGCCAUGAUUCGCAAGGAGCAAGAGCAAAGCGAACUAGGCACCACGCGAGGCUUCGGCUGGUCAAAGGAGCAAACCCUGGGCCAGUUCACCGGCUCCACAGGCGCGCAGAUCCUGACUCCACGCGAGCUCGCCAGCGGCACGCAAGCGUGGGCUAAGAAGCUUUUUAUAAGGCGCCCGCGAGUUUGGUCGUAACGCUACAUCUAUACGGCACGGUCCAUCGAUCAACCACGUGGUAAUGUUAGAACAUCUAACAUUCGCACUGAGGAUCAACUGACGCGAGCUGCUCCCGUAGAGGGGGGUAUGGGGAUGCAUCUUCUUCAGAAAAUGGGGUGGACCCCGGGGCAAGGGCUGGGGAAAGAAGGCACGGGCACCCUGCAACCUCUGCUGCUGGAGGUCAAACUUG